UUGCAUAUCAAUAAGCGGAGGAAAAGAAACUAACAAGGAUUCCCCUAGUAACGGCGAGUGAAGCGGGAAGAGCUCAAAUUUGAAAGCUGGCACCUUCGGUGUCCGCGUUGUAAUCUCGAGAAGUGUUUUCCGUGCUGGACCAUGUACAAGUUCCUUGGAAUAGGACGUCAUAGAGGGUGAAAAUCCCGUACUUGACAUGGACGCCCAGUGCUUUGUGAUACACUCUCCACGAGUCGAGUUGUUUGGGAAUGCAGCUCAAAAUGGGUGGUAAAUUCCAUCUAAAGCUAAAUAUUGGGGAGAGACCGAUAGCGAACAAGUACCGUGAGGGAAAGAUGAAAAGCACUUUGGAAAGAGAGUUAAACAGUACGUGAAAUUGUCGAAAGGGAAGCGCUUGAAGUUAGACAUGCUUGCCGGGAUUCAGCCUUGCUUUUGCUUGGUGCAUUUCCCGGUGUGCAGGCCAGCAUCAGUUUUGUUUGCCGGAUAAGGGUGAGAGGAAUGUGGCCCCUCGGGGUGUUAUAGCCUCUCACUGGAUACGGCGGAUGGGACUGAGGACCGCAGUGUGCCUUUAUGGCGGGCCUUCGUGCACCUCACACUCAAGAUGCAGCGAAGCCGCACAAACCAU
RNAcentral lists this ribosomal RNA (622 nucleotides) under Quambalaria cyanescens. RNAcentral's name for it is "LSU rRNA". It matches the Rfam family "Eukaryotic large subunit ribosomal RNA", at positions 36 to 610 of the family's 3401-position model. Lineage: Eukaryota; Fungi; Basidiomycota; Exobasidiomycetes; Microstromatales; Quambalariaceae. The record is from RNAcentral.